Molecule: ribosomal RNA, 465 nt
Filed under: uncultured bacterium
Lineage: Bacteria
Description: SSU rRNA
Rfam family: Bacterial small subunit ribosomal RNA
Source: RNAcentral
AGGACUAACGCUGGCGGCGUGCCUAACACAUGCAAGUCGAGCGGGGUAGCAAUACCCAGCGGCAGACGGGUGAGUAACGCGUGGUCAACCUUCCGUUGAAUGGGGGAUAACUAGCCGAAAGGUUAGCUAAUACCGCAUACGAUCUUUUGAAGGCAUCUUUAAAAGAUGAAAGGAGCAAUUCGUUCAACGACGGGACCGCGUCCCAUUAGCUAGAUGGUGGGGUAAUGGCCUACCAUGGCAACGAUGGGUAGCUGGUUUGAGAGAGCGACCAGCCACACUGGGACUGAGAAACGGCCCAGACUCCUACGGGAGGCAGCAGUGAGGAAUUUUCCGCAAUGGGCGAAAGCCUGACGGAGCGACGCCGCGUGUGGGAAGAAGGCCUUCGGGUCGUAAACCACUGUCGAAGGGGACGAUAAUGACGGUACCCUUGGAGGAAGCCCCGGCUAACUACGCGCCAGCAGCCGC